CUAGGAGAUGGGAGGUGCACCGAGGUCCGCGGCCUACGAGACUGGGGUGUGCACCGGCCAGCCGUAAUCUAGGAGACUGGUCACUUCAGUCCAAAGCCUGAGAGAUGCGUCAUUCCUGGCCCCUGUUAGAAUCCCUGAGAUGGCUUUGGACAUUCCAAACAUUGUGGGGAGAGGACAAGAUAAGUGGCACCAGUUAAUUGAUCCAUUGAACAAGACAAACAAGAGGAGCCAUGCCUUAAAAUUGUUGAUCAGGAUAUGUAAGAGAAAAAUUAAGUUAAAGACUUCUUCCUGGUUUUGUAUUUGAUUUUUGAGUCCAAAAUCAACAUGUAUGGCUCUUUUUCC
Long non-coding RNA from Suricata suricatta (meerkat), 342 nucleotides. RefSeq lists it as uncharacterized. Lineage: Eukaryota; Metazoa; Chordata; Mammalia; Carnivora; Herpestidae. The transcript is spliced from 3 exons. The record is from RefSeq and is a predicted model, not a curated record.